GAUCCUGGCUCAGGAUGAACGCUGGCGGCGUGCCUAACACAUGCAAGUCGAGCGAAGCGGUUUUUAAGGAAGUUUUCGGAUGGAAUUAAAAACUGACUGAGCGGCGGACGGGUGAGUAACGCGUGGGUAACCUGCCUCAUACAGGGGGAUAACAGUUAGAAAUGGCUGCUAAUACCGCAUAAGCACACAGCUUCGCAUGGAGCAGUGUGAAAAACUCCGGUGGUAUGAGAUGGACCCCGCGU
RNAcentral lists this ribosomal RNA (242 nucleotides) under uncultured bacterium. RNAcentral describes it as "partial 16S ribosomal RNA". It matches the Rfam family "Bacterial small subunit ribosomal RNA", at positions 15 to 236 of the family's 1533-position model. The record is from RNAcentral.